This 1607-nucleotide unclassified non-coding RNA is filed under the name Hevea brasiliensis (rubber tree). The record is from RNAcentral. Lineage: Eukaryota; Viridiplantae; Streptophyta; Magnoliopsida; Malpighiales; Euphorbiaceae.
CCCACUAAUUGUAUUUUAUUUUCCAGGAGCAAUCUCCCACCAUUUAAUGCAGAUACUCUUUCUAAGGAGAGGGGAGAAAGAAGAAAACUCUCUUCCUCGACAUGCAGAGGGGGUGUGGGUAGACAGCAAGAGUGAUUCUUAAGAUAAAUGUUCCUAACAUUGCUCCUCCUGCCUCUCCAUGUCGCAUAUGAUAGGAAAAAGAUUAUGUUGAUUCCACCAUGGUACCUGGUACAGACUACAUAAAUGGUGGAUGGAUACAGGAAUUGCUGAAUGAGUUCAUCGGAAAUGCAACAUGACCUAUACUAACUAAAAUGUGCAGAUCACAGUUGAUCUGAUCCAAUUAGACAGUAAAGACACAAAACAUAAGUCAUCCAUCAUGUAGUAAAAAAGGUCCAGAUCUUUUUCCCUAUGGAAACUUCACCAGGAUGCUCCAACUCAUCAUCAACAUCAUAGUCCUCUUCAUCCUCCUCAUGGAUUGUGCUGCCAUUCUCAUCUUCAUCCCCAUAUUCUGUAGUACCAUUUACUUCCUCACUCAACUCCAUAAUCUCAAUAGAUUUUGAUAUGUCAGCCCUGACUGCCCUAUCCUGUGAGAACUCCACAUUUUUUAGUGUUGUGACCUUCAAUGCAUCUGUAGACUUGCCAGUCUCACUAGCAACUCCAAGUGACGAUGCAAGCGCAGUUUCAGGUUUUCGUGUUGGUUCAACAGAAGCACCGCCAUCAGCUUCUUUCUCCCCUGUCUUGGUCAAGCCAGAAAAUGCUUCAUUGGCAGAGGGUGCCCCAGCAGUCCUGUGUCGCCUAAGAUUGUAGCGCUUUUGCCCUGGAGUAAUUGCUGAAGCCACCAUUUGUCGCCUCUUCCUGCGACCACCAGUUGUGACACUCUCGGAACAUCCUUCACUAUCACCAGCAUCCUGCUCAGUUUCAGUUGGUGCACGUUCCCGCUUCCUGGCAAUGUUGCUGGCUGGCUUCUCUAUACUUUCAUCAAUGUUUUGAUAAAUAUCAUUAGACUGUACAUUUUUUGCAUAAUGUUCAGGUCCUUCUGAGCUUUUCUCAAGAAACAGCUUUGCAUCUUCAACGACUGCUUUAACUGAACGUGUUCUACUUAUUCCACCCUUGCGUCUCCUCCCAGGUUUACUUCGACUACUCUUCAGCUCAGAUUGUUCAGCAUCCUCUACCUUACUGUCCAUAUUACCGUGAUCAUCAACAGACAUGGAAUAUCCAUCUCCCUUUCCUUUAAUGGCAUCAAAAUGAAGCUGCUCAAAUUCAUCUCCAGCAACACUACCUCUAGCUGCUUUACUGGCAAGCAUACCAAAUCCAUCAGUCUUUUCUUCUGCCAAAAUUGGAACUGAAACAUGCUCUUUCUUUUUAGUAGGUGAUAUGCUAAAAAUCUUCGAAGUGCAUUUACGGAACCAAGACAUGUGCUCUUGAGAAUUGGAAUAUCCCAAAUCAUGUUCACUAGGAGAUCUGUUGACAUUCAUAACAACAGUAACAUCCACAUCAUCUUGAUCAUUCCUCAAAAUUUCAUCCGCUUGCCUUUGAAGGGGAAGGAUCCUCCUGUCUUCCAUGUCAGGAGGCAGAAGAUCAGAAAGUAUAAACUCACUAGUAAUGUC